This 253-nucleotide ribosomal RNA is filed under the name uncultured bacterium. RNAcentral's name for it is "partial 16S ribosomal RNA". It matches the Rfam family "Bacterial small subunit ribosomal RNA", at positions 524 to 776 of the family's 1533-position model. The record is from RNAcentral.
UACGUAGGGGGCAAGCGUUGUCCGGAUUUAUUGGGCGUAAAGAGCGUGUAGGCGGCUUUACAGGUCCGUUGUGAAAACUCGAGGCUCAACCUCGAGACGCCGGUGGAAACCGUAAAGCUAGAGUCCGGAAGAGGAGAGUGGAAUUCCUGGUGUAGCGGUGAAAUGCGCAAAUAUCAGGAGGAACACCCGUGGCGAAAGCGGCUCUCUGGGACGGUACUGACGCUGAGACGCGAAAGCGUGGGGAGCAAACAGG